Molecule: transfer RNA, 88 nt
Filed under: Verrucomicrobiota bacterium
Lineage: Bacteria; Pseudomonadati; Verrucomicrobiota
Also listed under: 3 other names
Description: tRNA-Leu
Rfam family: tRNA
About the family: Transfer RNA (tRNA) molecules are approximately 80 nucleotides in length.
Source: RNAcentral
GCCGGUGUGGCGAAAUGGCAGACGCACAGGACUUAAAAUCCUGGGGCCGUAAAAAGCCGUGUGGGUUCGAGUCCCACCACCGGCACCA